AUAAUCAGUUGGCUUAUAAUUGAAGUCUGGUAUGAAAGGGAAUUCGGGGUGUUACUAUCUUAAAAUAAUAAACAUGAAAUUACUUAAUAAGUGAAAAUUCUUAUAAUAAUAAAAUAGACGAGAAGACCCUAGAAAUUUUUACAAAAUUAACUUUUUUUUUGUUGGGGCGACAGGAUAACAAAGAACUUAUCUACAUAAUUAAGAAAUUUAUAUAUAGUGUAACUAAAUUACUCUAGGGAUAACAGCAUAAUAUUGAAAAGUUUGUGACCUCGAUGUUGGACUAGGAAAUGUAUUACCUAAAAGGUAAUAUAAUUGGCCCUGUUCGUGCUAUAAUAUCCUACAU
Molecule: ribosomal RNA, 343 nt
Filed under: Monacha sp. Cec3_1
Lineage: Eukaryota; Metazoa; Mollusca; Gastropoda; Stylommatophora; Hygromiidae
Also listed under: 2 other names
Description: partial 16S ribosomal RNA
Source: RNAcentral